This 466-nucleotide ribosomal RNA is filed under the name uncultured bacterium. Its description in RNAcentral is "partial 16S ribosomal RNA". It matches the Rfam family "Bacterial small subunit ribosomal RNA", at positions 28 to 505 of the family's 1533-position model. The record is from RNAcentral.
GACGAACGCUGGCGGCGUGCUUAACACAUGCAAGUCGAACGGAAAGGCCCUGCUUUUGUGGGGUGCUCGAGUGGCGAACGGGUGAGUAACACGUGAGUAACCUGCCCUUGACUUUGGGAUAACUUCAGGAAACUGGGGCUAAUACCGGAUAGGAGCUCCUGCUGCAUGGUGGGGGUUGGAAAGUUUCGGCGGUUGGGGAUGGACUCGCGGCUUAUCAGCUUGUUGGUGGGGUAGUGGCUUACCAAGGCUUUGACGGGUAGCCGGCCUGAGAGGGUGACCGGACACAUUGGGACAGAGAUACGGCCCAGACGCCUACGGGAGGCAGAAGUGGGGAAUAUUGCACAAUGGGCGGAAGCCUAAUGCAGCAACGCCGCGUGCGGGAUGACGGCCUUCGGGUUGUAAACCGAUUUCGCCUGUGACGAAGCGUGAGUGACGGGAAGGGGUAAAGAGGCACCGGCUAACUACG